UGUGUAGGCGGUUGUUUAAGUUUGGUGUGAAAUCUCCCGGCUCAACUGGGAGGGUGCGCCGAAUACUGAAUGACUUCGAGUGCGGGAGAGGAAAGUGGAAUUCCUGGUGUAGCGGUGAAAUGCGUAGAUAUCAGGAGGAACACCGGUGGUGUAGACGGCUUUCUGGACCGUAACUGACGCUGAGACACGAAAGCGUGGGUAGCAAACAGGAUUAGAUACCCUGGUAGUCCACGCCCUAAACGAUGCAUAUUUGGUGUGGGUCAUUCAGUUGAUCCGUGCCGGAGCUAACGCGUUAAAUAUGCCGCCUGGGGAGUACAGUCGCAAGGCUGAA
Molecule: ribosomal RNA, 331 nt
Filed under: uncultured bacterium
Lineage: Bacteria
Description: bacterial SSU rRNA
Rfam family: Bacterial small subunit ribosomal RNA
Source: RNAcentral